This 366-nucleotide transfer RNA is filed under the name Pseudolactococcus raffinolactis. RNAcentral's name for it is "Lactococcus raffinolactis 16S-23S ribosomal RNA intergenic spacer". The stretch from base 116 to 188 matches the Rfam family "tRNA". The record is from RNAcentral. Lineage: Bacteria; Bacillati; Bacillota; Bacilli; Lactobacillales; Streptococcaceae.
CUAAGGAAAAAUGGUUGCUUAGGCAAUUCAUGGAUAACUGUAUUUGGGCUUUCUGUUUUAUUUAGUUUUGAGAGGUUUAUACCUAAAACUGUAAAAAUCUUCUCUAUAAGAAGACGGGGCCUUAGCUCAGCUGGGAGAGCGCCUGCUUUGCACGCAGGAGGUCAGCGGUUCGAUCCCGCUAGGCUCCAUUGUCAACGAAGACAUUAAAAUAGGCAAUUAGAUCAUUGAAAACUGAAUAACAAUUUCUAAAAUAACAAGAAAUAAACCGAGAAGUGACAUAGCAAUAUGUCACCUCAAAAAAAAAGCGUGAGUCGAAAGACUCAAUACUUAUUACCAGAUACUUAAAUGUAUCGAUUUAAAGGUUAA